GAUGAACGCUGGCGGCGUGCCUAAUACAUGCAAGUCGAGCGAACAGACGAGGAGCUUGCUCCUCUGACGUUAGCGGCGGACGGGUGAGUAACACGUGGAUAACCUACCUAUAAGACUGGGAUAACUUCGGGAAACCGGAGCUAAUACCGGAUAAUAUAUUGAACCGCAUGGUUCAAUAGUGAAAGACGGUUUUGCUGUCCCUUAUAGAUGGAUCCGCGCCGCAUUAGCUAGUUGGUAAGGUAACGGCUUACCAAGGCAACGAUGCGUAGCCGACCUGAGAGCGUGAUCGGCCACACUGGAACUGAGACACGGUCCAGACUCCUACGGGAGGCAGCAGUAGGGAAUCUUCCGCAAUGGGCGAAAGCUUGACGGAGCAACGCCGCGUGAGUGAUGAAGGUCUUCGGAUCGUAAAACUCUGUUAUUAGGGAAGAACAAAUGUGUAAGUAACUAUGCACGUCUUGACGGUACCUAAUCAGAAAGCCACGGCUAACUACGUG
Molecule: ribosomal RNA, 497 nt
Filed under: uncultured bacterium
Lineage: Bacteria
Description: partial 16S ribosomal RNA
Rfam family: Bacterial small subunit ribosomal RNA
Source: RNAcentral